RNAcentral lists this ribosomal RNA (1140 nucleotides) under uncultured archaeon. RNAcentral describes it as "bacterial SSU rRNA". It matches the Rfam family "Archaeal small subunit ribosomal RNA", at positions 314 to 1458 of the family's 1478-position model. The record is from RNAcentral.
UUCCAGGCCCUACGGGGCGCAGCAGGCGCGAAACCUUUACACUGCACGCCAGUGCGAUAAGGGGAUCCCGAGUGCGCAGGCAUAGAGCCUGCGCUUUUCUGAACCGUAGGAAGGUUCAGGAACAAGAGCUGGGCAAGACCGGUGCCAGCCGCCGCGGUAAUACCGGCAGCUCGAGUGAUGGCCGAUCUUAUUGGGCCUAAAGCGUCCGUAGCUGGCCUUACAAGUCCGUCGGGAAAUCCACCCGCUCAACGGGUGGGCGUCCGGCGGAAACUGUGAGGCUUGGGACCGGGAGGCUUGAAGGGUACGUCCGGGGUAGGAGUGAAAUCCCGUAAUCCUGGACGGACCGCCGAUGGGGAAACCACUUCAAGAGAACGGAUCCGACAGUGAGGGACGAAAGCUAGGGUCUCGAACCGGAUUAGAUACCCGGGUAGUCCUAGCUGUAAACGAUGCCUGUUAGGUGUGACUCCCACUACGAGUGGGUGUUGUGCCGUAGGGAAGCCGCUAAACAGGCCGCCUGGGAAGUACGUCUGCAAGGAUGAAACUUAAAGGAAUUGGCGGGGGAGCACUACAACUGGAGGAGCCUGCGGUUUAAUUGGACUCAACGCCGGACAUCUCACCAGCAUCGACUGUGGUAAUGACGGUCAGGUUGAUGACCUUACCCGAGCCACAGAGAGGAGGUGCAUGGCCGCCGUCAGCUCGUACCGUGAGGCGUCCUGUUAAGUCAGGCAACGAGCGAGACCCGCAUCCUUACUUGCCAGCAGCACCGUGAGGUGGCUGGGGACAGUAGGGAGACCGCCGUGGCUAACACGGAGGAAGGAACGGGCAACGGUAGGUCAGUAUGCCCCGAAUAUGCUGGGCAACACGCGGGCUACAAUGGUCGAGACAAUGGGUUCCAACGCCGAGAGGCGACGGUAAUCUCAGAAACUCGAUCGUAGUUCGGAUUGUGGACUGAAACUCGUCCACAUGAAGCUGGAUUCGGUAGUAAUCGCGUGUCAGAAGCGCGCGGUGAAUACGUCCCUGCUCCUUGCACACACCGCCCGUCAAAGCACCCGAGUGAGGUCCGGAUGAGGCUCCCGAGAGGGAGUCAAAUCUGGGCUUCGCAAGGGGGCUUAAGUCGUAACAAGGUAACCAAGGGCGAAU